GCUGCUCCUCCCGUCAGAAGAUGGAGACUGCUUCCUUGCCCUUCAAUCCAAGCUGGCUCAUGACUUGCUUCAAUGAAUAGGAAAUGGCAGAAGUGAUGCUCUGAGGCUUCUGGGCCUAGACUUUAAGAGAAACAAGAAGAGCACCAGUGAUCUAAGGGACAAUUUCAAGAAGCCAAAUAUAAGUGCAAUUAGAUUCCCCAAUGGAGAAGAGCAAGGAGGGGAAUAAAAAAUAUAUAUUUAAAGAAAUGAAAGUGGAAUUUUUUCAAGUUCAUAAAAACUAUAAAACCUUAGAUUCAAGGCUACCAACGAACCCCAAGCAUAAGAAACAAAGAAAAUUUCAAGGAACAUCAUAACAAAAUUGCUCAAAACCAGAGAUAAAGAGAAGUUUUACAGUUAGCCAGAGGAAAAAAGACACAUUAAGAACAGAGAAACAAAAAUGAAGAUGAUAUCACAUUUCUCUUCGGAAGCAAUAUAAAUGAGAAGUUAUUGUAGCAACAUCUUGAAACUACUGACAGUACAAAACAAAACAAACUCCCAACAUGUCUGUACUUAGCAGGAAUGUCUUUUUUAAAUGAAGGCAAAUAAGACUUUUUCAGACAUACAAAGUCUGAAAGAAUUAAUCUCCAGCAGCCCUGCACUACAAGAAAUGUUAAAGAAAGUCCUGUAAGCAGAAAGAAAAUGAUACAAGAUGGAUCUAUGCAAAGGAAUAAAGAGCAUUAAAAAUGGUUAAUACAUGG
RNAcentral lists this long non-coding RNA (737 nucleotides) under Homo sapiens (human). RNAcentral's name for it is "HSALNT0119910". Lineage: Eukaryota; Metazoa; Chordata; Mammalia; Primates; Hominidae. The record is from RNAcentral.